RNAcentral lists this transfer RNA (87 nucleotides) under Seminavis robusta. It matches the Rfam family "tRNA". Rfam says of the family: Transfer RNA (tRNA) molecules are approximately 80 nucleotides in length. Their secondary structure includes four short double-helical elements and three loops (D, anti-codon, and T loops). Further hydrogen bonds mediate the characteristic L-shaped molecular structure. tRNAs have two regions of fundamental functional importance: the anti-codon, which is responsible for specific mRNA codon recognition, and the 3' end, to which the tRNAs corresponding amino acid is attached (by aminoacyl-tRNA synthetases). tRNAs cope with the degeneracy of the genetic code in two manners: having more than one tRNA (with a specific anti-codon) for a particular amino acid; and 'wobble' base-pairing, i.e. permitting non-standard base-pairing at the 3rd anti-codon position. The record is from Rfam by way of RNAcentral. Lineage: Eukaryota; Bacillariophyta; Bacillariophyceae; Naviculales; Naviculaceae.
GCGCCAUUGGUUUAGUGGUAAAAUUCAACGUUGCCAACCACAGUAAGCAGUUUCGUUGAGCCCUGGGUUCGAUUCCCAGAUGGCGCA